AGACGUCUACAUUAGACUACCCCGGUAGUCCCAGCCGUAAACUAUGCGCGUUAGGUGUAUCGGUGACCACGAGUCACCGAGGUGCCGAAGGGAAACCGUGAAACGUGCCGCCUGGGAAGUACGGUCGCAAGGCUGAAACUUAAAGGAAUUGGCGGGGAGCACCACAACGGGUGGAGCCUGCGGUUUAAUUGGACUCAACGCCGGGAAGCUCACCGGAUAAGACAGCGGAAUGAUUGCCGGGCUGAAGACUCUGCAUGACUAGCUG
RNAcentral lists this ribosomal RNA (265 nucleotides) under uncultured archaeon. RNAcentral's name for it is "partial 16S ribosomal RNA". It matches the Rfam family "Archaeal small subunit ribosomal RNA", at positions 717 to 982 of the family's 1478-position model. The record is from RNAcentral.